RNAcentral lists this ribosomal RNA (426 nucleotides) under Triticum aestivum (bread wheat). RNAcentral describes it as "partial small subunit ribosomal RNA". Lineage: Eukaryota; Viridiplantae; Streptophyta; Magnoliopsida; Poales; Poaceae. The record is from RNAcentral.
AUGGGUGCCAUCAUUCCUCCAUCGCAGGCCUCGGUAUAUAACCCUACCAGUCCGCCCGCCCCUAGGGUUUCCUUCCACCAAGAGAGCAAAAGGGGAUCGGGAGUCAGUUAUGCGCCGCCGCCUGCCGUGCGCCGAUCUCCACCAUCUCGCCGUCGCCGUCGCCGUCGCCGUCGGAUGCCUCGAAUGAGGAUCCCCCGGUGCUUGAGCAGAGGCGACCAAAUAAGCAGCUCCCCCUUUGGGAGCUGCAGCCCCCAAUCCAAGCAGCAGCAGCAGCAGCAGCAGCUCCUUUCCGAGCAGCGACCGGCAAUCGAAGCAAUCAAGCGGCUCCACUCCGAGCCGCAGACGGCAAUCCUUUCCGGAUUACAAUCAGAAACAGGCCCUCUUUCGAAUUCAGUCUCCGGGUUUCCAUUGGUGGCGGCAACCUAG